Saccoglossus kowalevskii is the source of this 101-nucleotide non-coding RNA. RefSeq annotates it as microRNA mir-71. The record is from RefSeq and is marked provisional. Lineage: Eukaryota; Metazoa; Hemichordata; Enteropneusta; Harrimaniidae.
GCAUUACUGGUGGGUGUUUUGUGAAAGACACAGGUAGUGAGAUAGUGUAUGGUAAACAUCUCGCUACUUUGGUCUCUCUCCAUAGCACCUUGCCAAAAUCU